AAGGCCAGGGGGUGGCACGACUCAGCAGCCCAGUGCCUCUGUGGGCACAAGUCAAAGAGCAGCUAUAGCAUCACACCAGCUGUCUCCCAUAGGACACCAGGACCAGUCGCAAGGCUUAGGCAGCCUGCUGGGAUGUGACAGUCAUUGUCAGAGCCAGCCCGUAGCUCCGUUCAUGGCCCUCCCAGCCCUUGGUCAGACCAGACUGUGCAGCACCCGUCCCCUCAAGGGAGCUCCACAGCAUGGCUCAGGUUUAGAUGAUUCCCUGCUCACUAUUUCCAGCUCUUCUCAAGUGCAGCGAAGUCACAGCCAUGAUGCUCUGCGGGUCUCAGAAUUAAAAUUAUCUGGACAUCCAAAAGAAAAAGAGUGCAGGUGAAGAGGAUUUGCAUGC
Molecule: long non-coding RNA, 388 nt
Organism: Neopsephotus bourkii (Bourke's parrot)
Lineage: Eukaryota; Metazoa; Chordata; Aves; Psittaciformes; Psittacidae
Exons: 3
Source: RefSeq, a predicted model, not a curated record